This 858-nucleotide ribosomal RNA is filed under the name Helotiales sp. Its description in RNAcentral is "partial large subunit ribosomal RNA". It matches the Rfam family "Eukaryotic large subunit ribosomal RNA", at positions 74 to 949 of the family's 3401-position model. The record is from RNAcentral. Lineage: Eukaryota; Fungi; Ascomycota; Leotiomycetes; Helotiales.
AUUGCCUCAGUAACGGCGAGUGAAGCGGCAACAGCUCAAAUUUGAAAUCUGGCCCUCUCAGGGUCCGAGUUGUAAUUUGUAGAAGAUGCUUUGGGUGUGGCUCCGGUCUAAGUUCCUUGGAACAGGACGUCAUAGAGGGUGAGAAUCCCGUAUGUGACUGGUUGCCUUCGCCCGUGUAAAGCUCUUUCGACGAGUCGAGUUGUUUGGGAAUGCAGCUCAAAAUGGGUGGUAAAUUUCAUCUAAAGCUAAAUAUUGGCCAGAGACCGAUAGCGCACAAGUAGAGUGAUCGAAAGAUGAAAAGCACUUUGGAAAGAGAGUUAAACAGUACGUGAAAUUGUUGAAAGGGAAGCGCUUGCAACCAGACUUGCACGCAGUUAAUCAUCUGGUGUUCUCACCGGUGCACUUUUCUGCGUUCAGGCCAGCAUCGGUUUAGGUGGUGGGAUAAAGGCCUUGGGAAUGUAGCUUCUCUCGGGGAGUGUUAUAGCCCUCGGCGCAAUGCCGCCUACCUGGACCGAGGACCGCGCUUCGGCUAGGAUGCUGGCGUAAUGGUUGUAAGCGACCCGUCUUGAAACACGGACCAAGGAGUCUAACAUCUAUGCGAGUGUUUGGGUGUCAAACCCAUACGCGUAAUGAAAGUGAACGGAGGUGAGAACCCUUAAGGGUGCAUCAUCGACCGAUCCUGAUGUCUUCGGAUGGAUUUGAGUAAGAGCAUAGCUGUUGGGACCCGAAAGAUGGUGAACUAUGCCUGAAUAGGGUGAAGCCAGAGGAAACUCUGGUGGAGGCUCGCAGCGGUUCUGACGUGCAAAUCGAUCGUCAAAUUUGGGUAUAGGGGCGAAAGACUAAUCGAACCAUCUAGUA